GCCCAAUUUCGCACGUGCCUGUGGUCGCGUGCCGGUUGGUGGGCAUCCGGACAAGAGGCCGGACAGCCGCCCGAGAACGACCUAGUUCUCGAUACCCCUAACCGGCAGCCGGAGGCGAAACCGGCGUACUUCGCUCUCAGCGGAGGACGCGGCUUAAAGCAACGACGAACGGGCUUUU
RNAcentral lists this small RNA (178 nucleotides) under Microvirga flocculans. RNAcentral describes it as "Alphaproteobacterial sRNA ar45". It matches the Rfam family "Alphaproteobacterial sRNA ar45". Lineage: Bacteria; Pseudomonadati; Pseudomonadota; Alphaproteobacteria; Hyphomicrobiales; Methylobacteriaceae. The record is from Rfam by way of RNAcentral.